UACGUAGGUGGCGAGCGUUGUCCGGAUUUACUGGGCGUAAAGAGCGCGCAGGCGGUCGUUCAAGUCGCGUGUGAAAGCCCCCGGCUCAACUGGGGAGGGUCACGCGAUACUGAUCGACUCGAAGGCAGGAGAGGGUAGUGGAAUUCCCGGUGUAGUGGUGAAAUGCGUAGAGAUCGGGAGGAACACCAGUGGCGAAAGCGGCUCUCUGGUUCACACCUGACGCUGAGGGGCGAAAGCGUGGGGAGCGAACGGG
RNAcentral lists this ribosomal RNA (253 nucleotides) under uncultured bacterium. RNAcentral's name for it is "partial 16S ribosomal RNA". It matches the Rfam family "Bacterial small subunit ribosomal RNA", at positions 524 to 776 of the family's 1533-position model. The record is from RNAcentral.